Mustela erminea (ermine) is the source of this 1114-nucleotide long non-coding RNA. RefSeq lists it as uncharacterized. The record is from RefSeq and is a predicted model, not a curated record. The transcript is spliced from 2 exons. NCBI's taxonomy places the organism in Eukaryota, Metazoa, Chordata, Mammalia, Carnivora, Mustelidae.
CUCCGCUGGCUGUGGACCACGGGCUGCGCGGGGCGGUCGGCGUCCCCUCCUCCUCCGCUCGGGAGCCCCAGGCCAGAGGACGCUCGCCUGGGGAGGGCUGCCGGCGGAGACCUAGCCCUGCGACCCCGCCAGGUCUGCGGGCGCGGAGGGCUCCGUGUCCCUGGGUGGGAAGCGAGGGCAGCUUGCGCGGCGCUGGACCCCAGGCUCCUCCUCCCAAGGGCGGUUCGGGCCCCGCUGACGCAGCGGAACACCCUCACACUCCCUCAUUGGCUUCCAGGGCUGGUCCCCGGCUCCCUUUCGGCCUCCCGGGGGCUGCCUCGCGGGCUCCUCUCCGUGACGCCGCAGUCACCCACUCAGACACCUUGCAACUACAGUAGUGCCUGCAGGAACCCUAGACCACGUGGUGACAGGCCGCCCAGCGGUGUCAGCGUUGACCGUGCGGCGCAGGGAGGGGGGCGGAGGCAGCGCGGUUGGCAGGAAAGCCUCCGGAGAAGAGUGGCCUCUCCUGCGUCCUGAGCAGAGGCGCGCAAUUGCGAGGAAGCCCUGGGCCUGGGGCCCCACGGGCCGAGCGGGUCUGUCUACACUGCUGAAGUCUGAAUGUCUUGGCAUGUAUAAGAAGGAAAGGACUUAUCACGGGGAGCUGGACAGAAGGGAGUUUGGAUCCUGGCUUACACCCGGCUGUGAUAUGGACAACCUGCUUCCCCUCCGCUAGCUUCACUUCCCGCUGCCUUGUACGACCCGCAAGAACUGGAAACCGCAGUGCUCUGAUAACAGGGACCAAUUACUAAGCCGGCUUUAUUUAUCUUGGUUCCUCAAGGGCCCCCCUCCCACACUGGCAGGGUCAAAGCUCAGGUGUUAAAGAUCACAGUACAGGGAAGCUUGCCAUUCCUGAUGUUGGGGUCUCCUCCAUGUGGAGGUCCCCCACGGCCCCCGUGCUGCCUGGGGUGAAGGAUGGAAAUGCAGCAGGAGCCCUGGACUGGGUGCUUGGAGCCUGGGGAUCCUGGGAUGGCUCCGCCACUGGCACUCUGGGCCUCUCUGGGGGGUCCCUCUGAGGCUGCAUUUUCGUCCUCACUAAAAUAAAGAAAUAUUGUGAUCUUGUACUAAUACACCUCAA